UACGUAGGGUGCAAGCGUUGUCCGGAAUUAUUGGGCGUAAAGAGCUCGUAGGCGGUUUGUCGCGUCUGCUGUGAAAACCUAGGGCUUAACCCUGGGCUUGCAGUGGAUACGGGCAGACUAGAGGUAGGUAGGGGAGAAUGGAAUUCCUGGUGUAGCGGUGAAAUGCGCAGAUAUCAGGAAGAACACCCGUGGCUAAGGCGGCUCUCUAGUACGGUACUGACGCUGAGACGCGAAAGCGUGGGGAGCGAACAGG
Molecule: ribosomal RNA, 253 nt
Filed under: uncultured bacterium
Lineage: Bacteria
Description: partial 16S ribosomal RNA
Rfam family: Bacterial small subunit ribosomal RNA
Source: RNAcentral